Long non-coding RNA from Peromyscus eremicus (cactus mouse), 1322 nucleotides. RefSeq lists it as uncharacterized. Lineage: Eukaryota; Metazoa; Chordata; Mammalia; Rodentia; Cricetidae. The transcript has 2 exons. The record is from RefSeq and is a predicted model, not a curated record.
AAUGGGUGGCUUAGGUGAUCCAGAUUCUCAGAAUGCCUCUGUUGCAGUAUCCUCAGAAUUCUGCAUUCAGAACAUCUUCAAGGAUCCUGGCUGAGAUGUUCCAGCCUCACAGACUAUUCUAGCCAGGGCUGGAGGUAAGUCUUGUGCUUUCCCAUUGCACAGAGACUGGACAACAAAUGUUACGGCUAGCUCUCCCAGGACUUGACCAUUAUCCCAAUUUUCCCAGGGUCCCCUAAUAAUGCCGGCACGCCCAGACAACAAGGAGCAGUCUAGAGAAUACAAUACCCACACUCCCAAGAGGUGGGGUUUUCUGAGACAGGGUUUCUCUGUGUAGCUUUGCGCCUUUCCUGGACCUCGCUCUGUAGGCCAGGCUGGCCUCGAACUCACAAAGAUCCGCCUGCCUCUGCCUCUGCGAGUGCUGGGAUUAAAGGCGUGCACCACCACCGCCCGGCUGCAGUUCAUUUUCAAAGGUUAUAUAAAGUUUUAGACUUUGAAAGCUACUUAGGAUAUUAAAGAAACACAGGUUAGUAGUCAUCUAUAACAAUCAGACUUAUAGUCAUGUUAGGUAUGUUUUCAAGGUAAAACAGAUAUAUUUUGAAUAGAUAGAUGGUCUUCAAACACUUCAAAGACCUACAGAAUAUGGCAUUUAAACUUUUAAUAUCAUAAGGCUUUUCAUGACAGUGAGACAUGUCUGCUCCUGGCAGCACCAAUUAACUUCAAAAAAGGAUGAUGGGUAUCAAGAAACUGCCCUUGCCUCAACUGCUGACAGUAUAAUGUCUAAAUUGGAUAACCAGGACACAAAGGAAAACGUCUGCUGAACUUUGCCAAGACAAUGUAGGACAAUCCUUCAAAAUUCCUGCUUCACAGAGAAGUUUACCAGAUAUUCUAGGCCUGUAGGUCGAAGACGGACGCACCAAUGUUACAGAGGAACCUUGGGUGAUUGUCUAGGUAGCCAGCUGUUUCUGUCAUUUCUAUAUUUUUAGAAGUUGUUUGCUCUGUACUUUCUGUUUACUUGAAUAAUAUUAUGUCAUUCUUGGGUCUCUGAUGGAGUUGAAGAUGAGAUAUUUAUAGUCACAGUUUUCUUUGUUACCAAAUUCAGAAAAGAAACUCACAAAAGAGGUAUAAAAUGUAUGGGUUUGAAAGAAAUAAAAGCUUAAAUUGUUUAUCUAGGAGAAUGUUUUGAGGUCUAAAAAGAUAGUUUUGAGAUUGUAAUACAAGUUAUGAUAGAAAAUGGUUUAGGUAUAAAAAUUUGGACUAAGACAGAAUAGAUAAUACAGUACUUUCUCCAAAUUUUCCAAAUACAAAUAGACUGGACACUGAAA